This 253-nucleotide ribosomal RNA is filed under the name uncultured bacterium. Its description in RNAcentral is "partial 16S ribosomal RNA". It matches the Rfam family "Bacterial small subunit ribosomal RNA", at positions 524 to 776 of the family's 1533-position model. The record is from RNAcentral.
UACGGGAGUGGCAAGCGUUAUCCGGAAUUAUUGGGCGUAAAGCGUCCGCAGGCGGCCCUACAAGUCUGCUGUUAAAAAGUGGAGCUUAACUCCAUCAUGGCAGUGGAAACUGUUGGGCUCGAGUGUGGUAGGGGCAGAGGGAAUUCCCGGUGUAGCGGUGAAAUGCGUAGAUAUCGGGAAGAACACCAGUGGCGAAGGCGCUCUGCUGGGCCAUCACUGACGCUCAUGGACGAAAGCCAGGGGAGCGAAAGGG